Mesoplodon densirostris (Blainville's beaked whale) is the source of this 640-nucleotide long non-coding RNA. RefSeq lists it as uncharacterized. The record is from RefSeq and is a predicted model, not a curated record. The transcript is spliced from 4 exons. NCBI's taxonomy places the organism in Eukaryota, Metazoa, Chordata, Mammalia, Artiodactyla, Ziphiidae.
GUGAAAAUUCCUGCAGUGCAGCUGUUGAAGCCUGUGCCUUCUCGACUCUGGACUUCUCAGGCUCAUCUAUGGUGCCUCAAAGAGCUGUGUUUCAUUGUUUUCCAUGGCUAAUAUUCCAUUGUGUACAUGGACCACUUCUUCUUUUUCCACUCAUCGGGUGACGUACAUUUUGGUUGCUUCCGCGUCUUGGCUAUUGUGAAAAUUCCUGCAGUGCAGCUGUUGAAGCCUCUGCCUUCUUGACUCUGGACUUCUCAGGCUCAUCUAUGGUGCCUCAAAGAGCUGUGUUUCAUUGUUUUCCAUGGCUAAUAUUCCAUUGUGUACAUGGACCACUUCUUCUUUUUCCACUCAUCGGGUGACGUACAUUUUGGUUGCUUCCGCGUCUUGGCUAUUGUGAAAAUUCCUGCAGUGCAGCUGUUGAAGCCUCUGCCUUCUUGACUCUGGACUUCUCAGGCUCAUCUAUGGUGCCUCAAAGAGCUGUGUUUCAUUGUUUUCCAUGGCUAAUAUUCCAUUGUGUACAUGGACCACUUCUUCUUUUUCCACUCAUCGGGUGACGUACAUUUUGGUUGCUUCCGCGUCUUGGCUAUUGUGAAAAUUCCUGCAGUGCAGCUGUUGAAGCCUCUGCCUUCUUGACUCUGGACUU